Molecule: ribosomal RNA, 120 nt
Filed under: Octopus vulgaris (common octopus)
Lineage: Eukaryota; Metazoa; Mollusca; Cephalopoda; Octopoda; Octopodidae
Also listed under: 1 other name
Source: RNAcentral
GCUUAUGGCCAUAUCACGUUGAAAACAGCCGGUUCUCAUCCGAUCACAGAAGUUAAGCAACAUCGAGCCUAGUUAGUACUUAAAUGGGUGACCGCUUGGGAAACCUAGGUGCUGUAAGCA